This 1004-nucleotide ribosomal RNA is filed under the name Nagrajchalara aspera. RNAcentral describes it as "SSU rRNA". It matches the Rfam family "Eukaryotic small subunit ribosomal RNA", at positions 98 to 1110 of the family's 1831-position model. The record is from RNAcentral. Lineage: Eukaryota; Fungi; Ascomycota; Leotiomycetes; Helotiales.
UCAUUAAAUCAGUUAUCGUUUAUUUGAUAGUACCUUACUACUUGGAUAACCGUGGUAAUUCUAGAGCUAAUACAUGCUAAAAACCUCGACUUCGGAAGGGGUGUAUUUAUUAGAUAAAAAACCAAUGCCCUUCGGGGCUCACUGGUGAUUCAUAAUAACUUAACGAAUCGCAUGGCCUUGUGCCGGCGAUGGUUCAUUCAAAUUUCUGCCCUAUCAACUUUCGAUUGUUGGGUCUUGGCCAACAAUGGUUUCAACGGGUAACGGGGAAUUAGGGUUCUAUUCCGGAGAGGGAGCCUGAGAAACGGCUACCACAUCCAAGGAAGGCAGCAGGCGCGCAAAUUACCCAAUCCUGAUACAGGGAGGUAGUGACAAUAAAUACUGAUACAGGGCUCUUUUGGGUCUUGUAAUUGGAAUGAGUACAAUUUAAAUCCCUUAACGAGGAACAAUUGGAGGGCAAGUCUGGUGCCAGCAGCCGCGGUAAUUCCAGCUCCAAUAGCGUAUAUUAAAGUUGUUGCAGUUAAAAAGCUCGUAGUUGAACCUUGGGCCUGGCUGGCCGGUCCGCCUCACCGCGUGCACUGGUCCGGCCGGGCCUUUCCUUCUGGGGAGCCGCAUGCCCUUCACUGGGUGUGUCGGGGAACCAGGACUUUUACUUUGAAAAAAUUAGAGUGUUCAAAGCAGGCCUAUGCUCGAAUACAUUAGCAUGGAAUAAUAGAAUAGGACGUGUGGUUCUAUUUUGUUGGUUUCUAGGACCGCCGUAAUGAUUAAUAGGGACAGUUGGGGGCAUCAGUAUUUAAUUGUCAGAGGUGAAAUUCUUGGAUUUAUUAAAGACUAACUACUGCGAAAGCAUUUGCCAAAGAUGUUUUCAUUAAUCAGUGAACGAAAGUUAGGGGAUCGAAGACGAUCAGAUACCGUCGUAGUCUUAACCAUAAACUAUGCCGACUAGGGAUCGGGCGAUGUUAUCUUUUUGACUCGCUCGGCACCUUACGAGAAAUCAAAGUCUUUGG